RNAcentral lists this long non-coding RNA (213 nucleotides) under Carica papaya (papaya). RNAcentral's name for it is "long non-coding RNA (CPAP_LNC013626)". Lineage: Eukaryota; Viridiplantae; Streptophyta; Magnoliopsida; Brassicales; Caricaceae. The record is from RNAcentral.
AGGUACUCUAUCUUAGUUAUUAAGGUAGGUUAUUCAUUAUUAUUAUUCAUAAAUUCAAAUAUUAUUUUGAUUAUUGAGAUUCGAGAUUUCUAAGUUUUGUUCUUAGUAAAAGUUCUCUAAGUUUGUCUUCAAUCUCUCUUUGUCCUACAUCAACAAGUUUUACUUAAUUUUCAUUUCCAAUAUACAUUAACCUUUAAAUAUACUGAAGAAAGU